Molecule: ribosomal RNA, 329 nt
Filed under: uncultured eukaryote
Lineage: Eukaryota
Description: partial 18S ribosomal RNA
Rfam family: Eukaryotic small subunit ribosomal RNA
Source: RNAcentral
CCCUUAGAUGUUCUGGGCCGCACGCGCGCUACACUGACGGAGGCAGCGAACGUGUCCUUCGCCGGCAGGUGCGGGCAAUCUUGCGAGUCUCCGUCGUGCUGGGGAUAGAUGGUUGCAAUUGUCGAUCUUGAACGAGGAAUUCCUAGUAAGCGCGAGUCAUCAGCUCGCGCUGAUUACGUCCCUGCCCUUUGUACACACCGCCCGUCGCUACUACAGAGUGCCCGUGUCCAAGAAACGGUCGGACCUGUGCGGCCUCUCCGGGCGACCGGAGGGCCGUUACGGGGAAGACCCUUUAUUUGACGCGGGUCGAUGAAGUAAAAGUCGUAACA